Molecule: ribosomal RNA, 253 nt
Filed under: uncultured prokaryote
Description: partial 16S ribosomal RNA
Rfam family: Bacterial small subunit ribosomal RNA
Source: RNAcentral
ACGGAGGGGGCUAGCGUUGUUCGGAAUUACUGGGCGUAAAGCGCACGUAGGCGGCUUAGUAAGUCAGGGGUGAAAGGUUACGGCUCAACCGUAGAAUUGCCUUUGAUACUGCUGAGCUUGAAUCAGGAUGAGGUCGGCGGAAUGUGGCAUGUAGCGGUGAAAUGCAUAGAUAUGCCAUAGAACACCAAUUGCGAAGGCAGCUGGCUAGACCUUGAUUGACGCUGAGGCACGAAAGCGUGGGGAGCGAACAGGA